CGUGAUGAUCGGAGGCAGGGUCACUUAGCGUCGAACAGUUAAAGAGAACCGUGGAAUUGCACUGGAAAACCAAUCCAGGCACUAUCAGCCAGCCAACCAGCCGGGUAUUGGGGAUGCAAUCAGUGCGUCAGGCUCUCCAACGUCUGACUUUCCCCUCCCUGCCUUGAGCCUGAGUCUACUCUUUACGCGUCCCUCUCCUUGGCCAAGAAAUCUACUCACCCCAGGCAUCAGGUAUUACAGGAUCGAAUGCACCCUUGAGUGACGCUUGAAAGGAGGAUCGGAGUCGGGCGUGGCGUCGCUCAAACCUUCGGCGACGGUGCGGUGCCGGUGCUGAACCUUAUGGACGUCAGGGAGUGCCGGCCACCUGGACCCCUUCACUGCCUCCACCAUCCCACCCUCAAGGCCUGGGGCUGCGGCACGGCACACAGAAGGGCAAGAUGAGGCUCUUCAUGGUGCAGUAAGGUGACCAGGCUCCAAGUUUUCAGGGAAGUCCUGCACUCUGUGAUGUUACAGAGUCCACCAAGUUUGGUAGCAUGAUUCAUCUGCCUUAUCCAGUAUCUUCUACAAUGAAACAUCAGUCCCUCACCUCAAGGGUUACAAAAGUCCUGGAAAUUUACAGCUACUCAAGUUUUUUUUAACAUUCAACUAUAUUUUGGAUCCAAAUGAUCCCCAAUUAAAUAUAUGAAAUGGGUAAGUUCAACUGCACUAGCAAGGCAACUUUAAUAAAUACCCAAUCCAACUGACAGUACUUAGCCUUCCCCAAUUUACUAUAAAAGCUCCCAUCAUGACAAUGAUAAUUUUUAUUAUGUAACUUUACAGUCACAUCUACAAGAAGAGCAGCAGGGAGGCAGUCAGAUGGACCAAGCAAACAAGUGCCUUCAUUAUGAAGGACAGACUAUAUAGGAAACUGAUAAUGGUGCUGUAAGAAGGGUAAAGUACUUUAACAAGGUAUGUAUUAAGAUGGAAAAUGACAAUGUGCAUGUUUUUAUGGUACAAAUAUAAGUUUACUGAUUUUCAAAACAUUAUUUUUCAUGACCUCCUGUCAAGCAUAUAGUCAAUAUACAGAACAUAAGUGCCUCACAUGCAAUUUGGUGUCAAAUAAAAGCAACAAGUGUUAGGGACAUUUUACAAACAAGCAUGCAAUGUGGAAAAAACUCCUUAUAGCUGCGAAACUGUUACUGAAUUUACUCUUUGUACAUCUUUUAUGAAUGCACACUUUACAGUUAAAGAGAAGUUACUGACGUUUUAACACAGCAGGCAAAGCCAAAAUGAUUGAAUCAACUAACACAGUAUACA
Molecule: long non-coding RNA, 1296 nt
Organism: Eriocheir sinensis (Chinese mitten crab)
Lineage: Eukaryota; Metazoa; Arthropoda; Malacostraca; Decapoda; Varunidae
Exons: 6
Source: RefSeq, a predicted model, not a curated record